CCGCGCGAAGGUAGCGUAAUCACUUGUUUUUUAAUUAAAGACUAGUAUGAACGGCCGCACGAGGACCUAACUGUCUCCUUUGUCCAAUCAGUGAAACUGAUCUCCUCGUGCAGAAGCGAGGAUUUUACCAUAAGACGAGAAGACCCUAUGGAGCUUUAAACUUUUAUUAAUUAUUUUCUUUACCCCUCUAAGGAGCUAACAGCCAAUUUAAUUUAUUUAAUAAAAGUUUUAGGUUGGGGCGACCAUGGAGAAAAAAAAAUCCUCCCUGAUGAUAACCUAACCAAGAGCCACAGCUCUAAGUAUUAAGACACUUAACUCCUAUUGACCCAUUUUAUGAUCAACGAACCAAGUUACCCUAGGGAUAACAGCGCAAUCCAUUUCAAGAGUCCCUAUCGACAAAUGGGUU
This 406-nucleotide ribosomal RNA is filed under the name Boulenophrys boettgeri (pale-shouldered horned toad). Its description in RNAcentral is "partial 16S ribosomal RNA". It matches the Rfam family "Bacterial large subunit ribosomal RNA", at positions 1946 to 2518 of the family's 2925-position model. Lineage: Eukaryota; Metazoa; Chordata; Amphibia; Anura; Megophryidae. The record is from RNAcentral.